AACGCACAUUGCGCCCUUUGGUAUUCCGAGGGGCAUGCCUGUUCGAGCGUCAUUAUGACCAAUCAAGCCUGGCUUGGUGUUGGGGUGCGCAUUUCUGCGGCCCCCGAAAUCAGUGGCAGUGCCUAUUUGGCUUCUAAGCGUAGUAAUUUCUCCUCGCUAUAGGGUCCUCGUAGAUGCUCGCCAAAAUCCCCCAACUAUUUACGGUUGACCUCGGAUCAGGUAGGGAUACCCGCUGAACUUAA
This 242-nucleotide unclassified non-coding RNA is filed under the name uncultured fungus. RNAcentral's name for it is "sequence contains ITS2". Lineage: Eukaryota; Fungi. The record is from RNAcentral.